RNAcentral lists this transfer RNA (68 nucleotides) under Hylobates pileatus (pileated gibbon). RNAcentral's name for it is "tRNA-Val". It matches the Rfam family "tRNA". Rfam says of the family: Transfer RNA (tRNA) molecules are approximately 80 nucleotides in length. Lineage: Eukaryota; Metazoa; Chordata; Mammalia; Primates; Hylobatidae. The record is from RNAcentral.
CAAGGUGUAGCUUAACAUAAAGCACCCGGCUUACACCCGGGAGAUUUCAAUUAACUUGACCGCCCUGA